ACGAACCGUGCGAACGUUGUUCGGAUUCACUGGGCUUAAAGGGCGCGUAGGCGGACGUUCAAGUCAGGGGUGAAAUCCUUCAGCUUAACUGGAGAAGUGCCUCUGAUACUGAUCGUCUCGAGGGAGGUAGGGGCAUGUGGAACUUCCGGUGGAGCGGUGAAAUGCGUAGAUAUCGGAAGGAACGCCGGUGGCGAAAGCGACGUGCUGGACCUCUUCUGACGCUGAGGCGCGAAAGCUAGGGGAGCGAACGGGAUUAGAUACCCCGGUAGUCCUAGCCCUAAACGAUGGGUACUAGAUUGUGGACUUAACAGGGGUUCACAGUCGAAGCAAAAGCGUUAAGUACCCCGCCUGGGGAGUAUGGUCGCAAGGCUG
RNAcentral lists this ribosomal RNA (372 nucleotides) under uncultured bacterium. RNAcentral's name for it is "bacterial SSU rRNA". It matches the Rfam family "Bacterial small subunit ribosomal RNA", at positions 525 to 896 of the family's 1533-position model. The record is from RNAcentral.